RNAcentral lists this unclassified non-coding RNA (150 nucleotides) under uncultured Apodus. RNAcentral describes it as "sequence contains ITS1". The record is from RNAcentral. Lineage: Eukaryota; Fungi; Ascomycota; Sordariomycetes; Sordariales; Lasiosphaeriaceae.
CAGAGUUGCAAAACUCCCAACCCUUUGUGAACGAACCUACUAGUUGCUUCGGCGGCAGACCCCUCUGGGGCCUAGCCUUUACGGGUACCCCGCCGGAGUCCUACAAACUCUUGAUUUUUUGGCAUCUCUGAGUAGCUUAUAAAUAAGUUA